AGUGGCGCACGGGUGAGUAACACGUAAGUAAUCUACCCUCGGGUGGGGAAUAACAUCGGGAAACCGAUGCUAAUACCGCAUAAUGCAGCGGCACCGCAAGGUGACAGUUGUUAAAGGCGAAAGUCGCCUGAGGAGGAGCUUGCGGCAGAUUAGCUAGUUGGUAGGGUAAUGGCUUACCAAGGCUACGAUCUGUAACCGGUCUAAGAGGACGGUCGGUCACACUGACACUGAAUAACGGGUCAGACUCCUACGGGAGGCAGCAGUCGGGAAUUUUGGGCAAUGGGCGAAAGCCUGACCCAGCAACGCCGCGUGAAGGAUGAAGUAUUUCGGUAUGUAAACUUCGUAAAAAUGGGAAGAACAAAUGACGGUACCAUUUGUAAGCCCCGGCUAACUACGUGCCAGCAGCCGCGGUAAUACGUAGGGGGCAAGCGUUGUUCGGAUUUACUGGGCGUAAAGGGCGCGUAGGCGGCGUGACAAGUCACUUGUGAAAUCUCCGGGCUUAACUCGGAACGGCCAAGUGAUACUGUUGUGCUAGAGUGCAGAAAGGGCAAUCGGAAUUCUUGGUGUAGCGGUGAAAUGCGUAGAUAUCAAGAGGAACACCUGAGGCGAAGGCGGGUUGCUAGGCUGACACUGACGCUGAGGCGCGAAAGCCAGGGGAGCAAACGGGAUUAGAUACCCCGGUAGUCCUGGCCCUAAACGA
This 700-nucleotide ribosomal RNA is filed under the name uncultured bacterium. RNAcentral describes it as "bacterial SSU rRNA". It matches the Rfam family "Bacterial small subunit ribosomal RNA", at positions 94 to 809 of the family's 1533-position model. The record is from RNAcentral.